GGAGAGGUGUCCGAGUGGCCGAUGGUGCCGCUCUCGAAAAGCGGUGUCGCUAACGCGACCGUGGGUUCAAAUCCCACCCUCUCCGCCA
RNAcentral lists this transfer RNA (88 nucleotides) under Dehalococcoidia bacterium. RNAcentral's name for it is "tRNA-Ser". It matches the Rfam family "tRNA". Rfam says of the family: Transfer RNA (tRNA) molecules are approximately 80 nucleotides in length. Their secondary structure includes four short double-helical elements and three loops (D, anti-codon, and T loops). Further hydrogen bonds mediate the characteristic L-shaped molecular structure. tRNAs have two regions of fundamental functional importance: the anti-codon, which is responsible for specific mRNA codon recognition, and the 3' end, to which the tRNAs corresponding amino acid is attached (by aminoacyl-tRNA synthetases). tRNAs cope with the degeneracy of the genetic code in two manners: having more than one tRNA (with a specific anti-codon) for a particular amino acid; and 'wobble' base-pairing, i.e. permitting non-standard base-pairing at the 3rd anti-codon position. The record is from RNAcentral. Lineage: Bacteria; Bacillati; Chloroflexota; Dehalococcoidia.